Molecule: ribosomal RNA, 231 nt
Filed under: uncultured bacterium
Lineage: Bacteria
Description: partial 16S ribosomal RNA
Rfam family: Bacterial small subunit ribosomal RNA
Source: RNAcentral
UGAGCAACCUACCCUCAACUUUGGGAUAAGCCUCGGAAACGGGGUCUAAUACCGAAUAAUAGCCCUGCUCUCAUGUGUGGGGUUUGAAAGUUCUGGCGGUUGGGGAUGGGCUCGCGGACUAUCAGCUUGUUGGUGGGGUAAUGGCCUACCAAGGCGUCGACGGUUAGCCUGCCUGGGAGGGCGACCGGCCACACUGGGACUGGGACACGGCCCAGACUCCUACGGGAGGCA